This 497-nucleotide ribosomal RNA is filed under the name uncultured bacterium. RNAcentral describes it as "partial 16S ribosomal RNA". It matches the Rfam family "Bacterial small subunit ribosomal RNA", at positions 28 to 507 of the family's 1533-position model. The record is from RNAcentral.
GUUGAACGCUGGCGGCGUGCCUAAUACAUGCAAGUCGAGCGAACAGAUGAGGAGCUUGCUCCUCUGCCGUUAGCGGCGGACGGGUGAGUAACACGUGGAUAACCUACCUAUAAGACUGGGAUAACUUCGGGAAACCGGAGCUAAUACCGGACAAUAUAUUGAACCGCAUGGUUCAAUAGUGAAAGACGGUUUUGCUGUCACUUAUAGAUGGAUCCGCGCCGCAUUAGCUAGUUGGUAAGGUAACGGCUUACCAAGGCAACGAUGCGUAGCCGACCUGAGAGGGUGGUCGGCCACACUGGAACUGAGACGCGGUCCAGACUCCUACGGGAGGCAGCAGUAGGGAAUCUUCCGCAAGGGGCGAAAGCCUGACGCAGCAACGCCGCGUGAGUGAUGAAGGUCUUCGGAUCGUAAAACUCUGUUAUUAGGGAAGACCAAAUGUGUAAGUAGCUAUGCACGGCUUGACGGUACCUAGUCAGAAAGCCCCGGCUAACUACGUG